Molecule: ribosomal RNA, 330 nt
Filed under: uncultured bacterium
Lineage: Bacteria
Description: bacterial SSU rRNA
Rfam family: Bacterial small subunit ribosomal RNA
Source: RNAcentral
GGGCCCGCACAAGCGGUGGAGCAUGUGGUUUAAUUCGAUGAUACGCGAGGAACCUUACCAGGACUUAAAUGUAAGUUGCAUGAUUCAGAAAUGAAUCUUUCUUCGGACUACUUACAAGGUGCUGCAUGGUUGUCGUCAGCUCGUGCCGUGAGGUGUCAGGGUUAAGUCCUAUAACGAGCGCAACCCCCUAUCGUUUAGUUGCCAGCAGUUCGGCUGGGCACUCUAUGGAAACUGCCCGUGAUAAGCGGGAGGAAGGUGUGGAUGACGUCAAGUCCUCAUGGCCCUUACGGGUUGGGCUACACACGUGCUACAAUGGUAGUGACAAUGGGU